CCUGCCCAGUGACUUCGUUUAACGGCCGCGGUAUCCUAACCGUGCAAAGGUAGCGUAAUCAUUUGUUCUAUAAAUAAGGACUAGUAUGAAUGGCACCAUGAGAAUUGACUUGUCUCUCAUAACAAAUCUAUGAAACUGAUCUCCCAGUUCAAAAGCUGGAAUAAACAUACAAGACGAGAAGACCCUGUGGAGCUUUAGCCAACCGUCACACCCACUGACGACUCGUGCUUUAGUUGGGGCGACUUUGGAGACAAACAAAACCUCCAAACAUACUCACCCGAGGCCGACACGCCAAAAAUAAUCCAAUUGACCCAAUAAACUUGAUUAAUGAACCAAGUUACCCCAGGGAUAACAGCGCAAUCUUCUUUUAGAGUCCCUAUCGACAAGAAGGUUUACGACCUCGAUGUUGGAUCAGGAUAUCCAAAUAGUGCAGCCGCUAUUAAGGGUUCGUUUGUUCAACGAUUAAAAUCC
Molecule: ribosomal RNA, 471 nt
Filed under: Diplometopon zarudnyi
Lineage: Eukaryota; Metazoa; Chordata; Lepidosauria; Squamata; Trogonophidae
Description: partial 16S ribosomal RNA
Rfam family: Bacterial large subunit ribosomal RNA
Source: RNAcentral